GUGAACUUAAGCAUAUCAAUAAGCGGAGGAAAAGAAACCAACAGGGAUUGCCUUAGUAACGGCGAGUGAAGCGGCAACAGCUCAAAU
RNAcentral lists this ribosomal RNA (87 nucleotides) under Haloguignardia irritans. Its description in RNAcentral is "partial 28S rDNA". It matches the Rfam family "Eukaryotic large subunit ribosomal RNA", at positions 28 to 114 of the family's 3401-position model. Lineage: Eukaryota; Fungi; Ascomycota; Sordariomycetes; Phyllachorales; Phyllachoraceae. The record is from RNAcentral.